GAAUUUCAUGAUACACUGCGGUCCUCAAGCAUUUAGGACGGAAGAAAUGAACACUGUCGAGGUAUGAUAUGUAAACUCUCCUAUACGAAGUGGGGAGAAAGAAACCAAGUCAAGAAACCAACUCCUUAUGUGACUUGUGACAUUAUAUUUUCUCUCUUCUCGUUUUUUUUUUUUUUUUACCUCAUUUGUAAUGCACAUCACGUAGUCACAGAUAAAUGACUAGACUGUGAACACUUCAGGGGAGUUUCAUGAGCCUAUGGCUCUAUUCUAAUCUCAGUGCCCAGUAGAGCCUGAAGCAGAGUAUAUGAAUCAGUAUUUAUGGAUCCAAAUGUAUUCUGGCAGUGUUCUUAUUCUGGCCUUUAUACUAUUUUGGAAACAAGAAAUUCAAAACC
This 392-nucleotide long non-coding RNA is filed under the name Lynx pardinus (Iberian lynx). Lineage: Eukaryota; Metazoa; Chordata; Mammalia; Carnivora; Felidae. The record is from RNAcentral.